This 497-nucleotide ribosomal RNA is filed under the name uncultured bacterium. RNAcentral describes it as "partial 16S ribosomal RNA". It matches the Rfam family "Bacterial small subunit ribosomal RNA", at positions 28 to 507 of the family's 1533-position model. The record is from RNAcentral.
GAUGAACGCUGGCGGCGUGCCUAAUACAUGCAAGUCGAGCGAACAGACGAGGAGCUUGCUCCUCUGACGUUAGCGGCGGACGGGUGAGUAACACGUGGAUAACCUACCUAUAAGACUGGGAUAACUUCGGGAAACCGGAGCUAAUACCGGAUAAUAUAUUGAACCGCAUGGGUCAAUAGUGAAAGACGGUUUUGCUGUCACUUAUAGAUGGAUCCGCGCUGCAUUAGCUAGUUGGUAAGGUAACGGCUUACGAAGGCAACGAUGCGUAGCCGACCUGAGAGGGUGAUCGGCCACACUGGAGCGGAGCCACGGUCCAGACUCCUGCGGGAGGCAGCAGUAGGGAAUCUGCCGCAGUGGGCGAAAGCCUGACGGAGCAGCGCCGCGUGAGAGAUGAAGGUCUUCGGAUCGUAAAGCUCUGUUAUUGGGGAAGAACAAAUGUGUAAGUAACUAUGCACGUCUUGACGGUACCUAAUCAGAAAGCAACGGCUAACUACGUG